AUGCCGGCCGGUCGUGCUCCGGGUCUGGACGGGUUUAUUGGCCUCUUUUUUCAGAAGGCGUGGAGCACUAUCAAAGGAGACUUACUUGCCGCAAUACACCAUCUCUUUCUUGGCAAUGGCCGCGGCUUUGGAAGACUAAACCAGGCCCUGAUUACUCUUAUCCAUAAGAAGGCCGGUGCAUGUCUUGUGGGAGAUUUCCGUCCCAUCAGUUUGGUUCAUAGUUUGCCCAAAAUCGGCUCCAAGUUACUCGCCAAUCGGUUGCGGCCGCCUAUGAAUGAGCUAGUUCACGCCAAUCAAUCGGCAUUCAUCAAGGGGAGAAAUCUACACGACAAUUUCUUGCUCGUGAGACAGGUGGCUAGAUCCCUACAUCGCUGGAGAGCGAAAGGUGUUUUACUCAAGUUGGAUAUCUCGCGAGCAUUUGACACCUUGUCUUGGUCAUUCCUAUUCGAGGUUCUUUGUCCCAAGGGGUUUUCGGACAUUUGGAUGUCCUGGAUUGCGAUCUUGCUCUCUACGGCUAGCUCAUGUGUGGUGGUCAAUGGGCACGGGGACCAAAAUUCGCUCAUGCUCAAGGGCUACGGCAAGGCGAUCCGGUCUCGCCGCUGCUUUUUGUAA
This 612-nucleotide ribosomal RNA is filed under the name Triticum aestivum (bread wheat). Its description in RNAcentral is "partial small subunit ribosomal RNA". The record is from RNAcentral. Lineage: Eukaryota; Viridiplantae; Streptophyta; Magnoliopsida; Poales; Poaceae.